Molecule: ribosomal RNA, 399 nt
Filed under: Triticum aestivum (bread wheat)
Lineage: Eukaryota; Viridiplantae; Streptophyta; Magnoliopsida; Poales; Poaceae
Description: partial small subunit ribosomal RNA
Source: RNAcentral
AUGACAUAUUUGAGCUCACUAGAUAUAGGAUUAUCAGCUGUUUGGAAGGAAGAAAUCUCUGAAAAGAAAGGGCCACUUAACCUAUCGAGUCUUGACGUCAUGCGAACUUUGGUCGGACUAAAAGAUCAUAAAUGGAGUCACUUACUGGACUAUCUUAGAGACAUUAAGAUAAUUGUCAUUGAGAAAUGGGAUUUGCCACUUUCAACAGUGGAGUCGAUGAUAUUCAAUCUAGGUUGGAAGCUGCCGUUAGAUACUAUAUCACUCUACAGGGGGCAGACUGAUGCAUCGUUCAAGUUCAGCACCAAACUGGCAUCUCUAUGCUCAAUCGUUUGGAAUGAUAGUAAUCAAGUCACCGACUGCUUAAUCUGUCAUAAUAUCGUAUGCAAGGAUAACAUUUAG